AGGCCCUAAACCCUUGGGAGCAAAACAGAAUUAGAUACCCUGGUAGCCCACGCCGUAACCGAUGGGUACUAGGUGUAGGAGGUAUCGACCCCUUCUGUGCCGGAGUUAACACAAUAAGUACCCCGCCUGGGGAGUACGGCCGCAAGGUUGAAACUCAAAGGAAUUGACGGGGGCCCGCACAAGCGGUGGAGCAUGUGGUUAAUUCGACGCAACGCGAAGAACCUUACCAGGUCUUGACAUCCCCUGAGAGUCUAAGAGAUUAGAUGUUUUGUCUUCGGACAGACAGGGAGACAGGUGGUGCAUGGUUGUCGUCAGCUCGUGUCGUGAGAUGUUGGGUUAAGUCCCGCAACGAGCGCAACCCUUAUCUUUAGUUGCCAGCACGUAAGGUGGGCACUCUAGAGAGACUGCCGGUGACAAACCGGAGGAAGGUGGGGAUGACGUCAAAUCAUCAUGCCCUUUAUGACCUGGGCUACACACGUGCUACAAUGGCCUGUACAAAGGGUAGCGAAGCCGUGAGGUGGAGCCAAUCCCAAAAAGCAGGUCUCAGUUCGGAUUGCAGGCUGCAACUCGCCUGCAUGAAGUCGGAAUCGCUAGUAAUCGCGGAUCAGCACGCCGCGGUGAAUACGUUCCCGGGCCUUGUACACACCGCCCGUCACACCACGAAAGUCUGCAACACCCGAAGCCGAUGGAGCAACCUUGAAAGAGGAGCAAGUCGUCGAAGGUGGGGCCGAUGAUUGGGGUGAAGUCGUAACAAGGUA
Molecule: ribosomal RNA, 758 nt
Filed under: uncultured bacterium
Lineage: Bacteria
Description: bacterial SSU rRNA
Rfam family: Bacterial small subunit ribosomal RNA
Source: RNAcentral